CGUUAGAUCAAGAAAGACUAAAAAUACGAAGACAGCUUACAGUUACUGAGAUUUUUCACUAUGGCUCUUUACUGGAAAAUGUUCGCUUUGCUUCUGACCGCGUACUGUGCUGCUUCACGAAGUCUCGAUAGUGAGGGGAAAAUGGGAUUUCGAAGUGUG
Molecule: long non-coding RNA, 159 nt
Organism: Dendronephthya gigantea
Lineage: Eukaryota; Metazoa; Cnidaria; Anthozoa; Malacalcyonacea; Nephtheidae
Exons: 3
Source: RefSeq, a predicted model, not a curated record